CUCCAUGCUCAUGUUCCGCACGUAGUAGUGCUGCGGCGGCACGUACGGCGGCGGGUACGCCGGCGGCGCCGGCCGGUACUGCUGGUUCAUCAUGUAGUCGGCGUUGUACAUGUAGGGCGGCGGCAUGUGGUGCGGCAGCGGCAUGUGGUGCGGGAACGGCAGCGGGGCCACGGCGGCGGGCUUCUUGUCGCCGUCCUUCUUGGCCGCCGCGUCGUCCUUCUUGCCGUCGCCAUCCUCCUUCUUGUCGCCGUCCUUCUUCCCGCCGUCGCCCUCCUCCUUCUUGUCGC
Molecule: long non-coding RNA, 287 nt
Filed under: Hordeum vulgare
Lineage: Eukaryota; Viridiplantae; Streptophyta; Magnoliopsida; Poales; Poaceae
Description: long non-coding RNA (HVUL_LNC011135)
Source: RNAcentral